This 81-nucleotide microRNA precursor is filed under the name Mesitornis unicolor (brown roatelo). RNAcentral describes it as "mir-187 microRNA precursor family". It matches the Rfam family "mir-187 microRNA precursor family". Lineage: Eukaryota; Metazoa; Chordata; Aves; Mesitornithiformes; Mesitornithidae. The record is from Rfam by way of RNAcentral.
AUUGUGAGACCUCCGGCUACAACACAGGACAUGGGCGCUUUUCUGAACCCUCGUGUCUUGUGUUGCAGCCAGAGGGGCACA